UGAAUACGAGAUGCUACGGCAUCGAAGCAGUCUAUGUCAUACUUCCAAGAAAAGCUUGCACUGUCAUAAACAAAUAAUGCCUGUACCAUAACCGACACAGGUGGGUAGGUAGAGUAUACUAAGGGGCGCGAGAUAACUCUCUCUAAGGAACUCGGCAAAAUGACUCCGUAACUUCGGGAGAAGGAGUGCCUUAUUUUAUAAGGUUGCAAUAACAAGAUCCAAGCAACUGUUUACCAAAAACACAGGUCUCCGCUAAGUCGUAAGACGAUGUAUGGGGGCUGACGCCUGCCCAGUGCCAGAAGGUUAAAGAAGUUGGUUAGCAUUAGCGAAGCUGAUAACUGAAGCCCUGGUGAACGGCGGCCGUAACUAUAACGGUCCUAAGGUAGCGAAAUUCCUUGUCGGGUAAGUUCCGACCCGCACGAAAGGCGUAAUGAUUUGGAUACUGUCUCGGAGAGGGGCUCGGUGAAAUAGACUUGUCUGUGAAGAUGCGGACUACCUGCACCAGGACAGAAAGACCCUAUGAAGCUUUACUGUAACUUGAGAUUGAAAUUGGACUUUAUUUGCGCAGUAUAGGUGGGAGACGUUGAAAAUAUUCUUGCGGGAAUAUUGGAGUCAUCAGUGAGAUACCACUCUUAUAAUGUUAGAUUUCUAACUUUGUAUCAUUAUCUGGUCAAAGAACAGUCUCAGGCGGGCAGUUUGACUGGGGCGGUCGCCUCCCAAACGGUAACGGAGGCGCACAAAGGUUUCCUCUGAACGUGUAGAAAUCGUAUCUAGAGUGUAAAGGCAUAAGGAAGCUUGACUGUGAGACCUACAAGUCGAGCAGGGACGAAAGUCGGUCUUAGUGAUCUGACGGUGCUGAGUGGAAAGGCCGUCACUCAACGGAUAAAAGUUACUCUAAGGAUAACAGGCUGAUCUCCCCCAAGAGUUCACAUCGACGGGGAGGUUUGGCACCUGAUGUCGGCUCAUCGCAUCCUGGGGCGGUAGUACGUCCCAAGGGUUGGGCUGUUCGCCCAUGAAAGCGGUACGCGAGCUGGGUUCAGAACGUCGUGAGACAGUUCGGUCCAUAUCCGGUGUAGGCGUUAGAAUAUUGAGAGGAGCCUUCUUUAGUACGAGAGGACCGAGAAGGACAUACCUCUGGUGUACCAGUUAUCGUGCCAACGGUAAACGCUGGGUAGCUAUGUAUGGAGAGGAUAACCGCUGAAAGCAUCUAAGUGGGAAGCCCACCUCAAGAUAAGUAUUCUC
RNAcentral lists this ribosomal RNA (1242 nucleotides) under metagenome. Its description in RNAcentral is "bacterial LSU rRNA". It matches the Rfam family "Bacterial large subunit ribosomal RNA", at positions 1564 to 2815 of the family's 2925-position model. The record is from RNAcentral.